GAGUGCUUUUAAGUUUAUAGGUCAUCGACUGUAUGCCAGGGAGAUUUUAACGUAAGCGGGGCUUUCUCUCGUGUGAAAGGGAAAGGCCUCACCGUGCCACCGCGUGUAUGCUUACCCUAUCAAUGUGAAGUCGGUCGGCGUAGAAGUCGAGUGCGUUUCAGGUUUAGAUCUUGACAGCCGUUUCAAGGUGCAGAAGUCGGCGGGAAUCGAUCUAGUAUCGCCAACUCUGCAGGUGAGAGAUGGAUGCUUGAAGCAUAGACUGCUGCUGAGUACUGUCUGGGGGCACGAAGGUGACUGACCUAAGGAUGUCCUUGGUGAGGAAUUUGAAAACUUGAUCUUCACAGGAGUUGCGUGGAUCAUUUAAAAUUUCCAGGAGUCUAAGGAAUAUUAAAAUUACUGCCUUUGGACAAUCCAUAAAUAUACAUUUUAAGUGAUGGGGCUAUGAAUAAAUAAUGUGCUUCUUGGA
Ceratotherium simum simum (southern white rhinoceros) is the source of this 466-nucleotide long non-coding RNA. RefSeq lists it as uncharacterized. The record is from RefSeq and is a predicted model, not a curated record. Lineage: Eukaryota; Metazoa; Chordata; Mammalia; Perissodactyla; Rhinocerotidae.